CUUAUGUUCCUGACAAGCCAGGCUGGCCCUGAAUAAAUACCACUUCAUCAUGAACACAACCCAACUGUAGAUACAGGUUAAAGUCAAUGAAUGAGCUUCAGUUUGCCACUACACAAAUAAAACAAAAAAAUGUAUAGUGAUUUUUUUCUUCAGUCAAAUCACCAUGGAUAGAGUCUUCUGCAUCAUUCCAAGCACCAGACUACCUUUGUGACAGGCUGGGACCUCGACCAAUUGCUGCAGUGCUUGCACCUGGACAAAUGUCUCCUUAAGCAACAAAAUGCAAAGAAAUGAUAAGGGACUAAAAAUAAAUACACGGUUGGGCAGUUGGGGCAAACUAUGGACAAGACAACACAAAAAGACCACAAAAUUCAAGUGCCAUUUCUGAAGAGCAGGGAGAAAAACAAGGUGUUGGGAGCAAAAUCAAAUACUGCGCAUGCCCCUUGCACUCACCACCAAAGGCAUGGGCCAAGCACCUAAGCCACCCCUUGGCUGGAUCCCUGGACACACCCCUCAUUCACUCCUUUAAGGAACCAGCUCAUCACACCCCAGUGAGGGAGUAAGCAAGGGCAACUGCUACUUGUUUUUGUCCCCCAACUGCUGUAGCAGGGGCCCCAAUAAAGCCUUGCCUGAA
Molecule: non-coding RNA, 631 nt
Organism: Odocoileus virginianus texanus
Lineage: Eukaryota; Metazoa; Chordata; Mammalia; Artiodactyla; Cervidae
Source: RefSeq, a predicted model, not a curated record